This is a long non-coding RNA of Ornithorhynchus anatinus (platypus), 337 nucleotides long. RefSeq lists it as uncharacterized. The transcript has 3 exons. The record is from RefSeq and is a predicted model, not a curated record. Lineage: Eukaryota; Metazoa; Chordata; Mammalia; Monotremata; Ornithorhynchidae.
CACUUUGCUCCUGUCGACAGCCCCGUGUCUAUGGGAGGGGCAGGUAUUUUUUGAAGAGAGAACUGAAACUCAAAGCAUCUUACUGCAGGAGCUCAUCUUCAAUGGUGGAAGGUGUAUUCACAGUAUCCUGCUACAGCUCUUGCCCUCUGGCUAAGAUUCCCCCUGGACUCUGUUCUCUUCAACAGUGCUGAGGCACCCUCUGAAGGUCUAAAAUGAGCCCCGGAAUAUCUCUCUAAGCAAGUCCCACUCUGCAACGUUUUCAUGGAGCAGAAAUGAGCUGGGGGAGCUGAAUGAACGAGCAGAAAUGAAUGCAUUGCUUCUUAUUAAAGAACCUGAU